GUGUCAGCAGCCGCGGUAAUACGAACCGUCCAAACGUUAUUCGGAAUCACUGGGCUUAAAGGGUGCGUAGGCGGCCCGGGAAGUUGGGUGUGAAAUCCCUCGGCUUAACCGAGGAAUAGCGCUCAAAACUGCCGGGCUUGAGGGAGACAGAGGUGAGAGGAACUUAGGGUGGAGCGGUGAAAUGCGUUGAUAUCCUAAGGAACACCGGGGGCGAAAGCGGCUCACUGGGUCUUUUCUGACGCUGAGGCACGAAAGCUAGGGGAGCGAACGGGAUUAGGUACCCCGGUAGUCCUAGCCCUAAACGAUGAGCACUAGAUCGGAGAACAUCCCAUAGUUUUCUGGUCGUAGCAAAAGCGCUAAGUGCUCCGCCUGGGGAGUAUGGUCGCAAGGCUGAAACUCAAAUGAAUUGACGGGG
RNAcentral lists this ribosomal RNA (415 nucleotides) under uncultured prokaryote. RNAcentral describes it as "bacterial SSU rRNA". It matches the Rfam family "Bacterial small subunit ribosomal RNA", at positions 505 to 918 of the family's 1533-position model. The record is from RNAcentral.